CGUAACAAGGUCUCCGUAGGUGAACCUGCGGAGGGAUCAUUACACAAAUAUGAAGGCGGGCUGGAACCUCUCGGGGUUACAGCCUUGCUGAAUUAUUCACCCUUGUCUUUUGCGUACUUCUUGUUUCCUUGGUGGGUUCGCCCACCACUAGGACAAACAUAAACCUUUUGUAAUUGCAAUCAGCGUCAGUAACAAAUUAAUAAUUACAACUUUCAACAACGGAUCUCUUGGUUCUGGCAUCGAUGAAGAACGCAGCGAAAUGCGAUAAGUAGUGUGAAUUGCAGAAUUCAGUGAAUCAUCGAAUCUUUGAACGCACAUUGCGCCCUUUGGUAUUCCAAAGGGCAUGCCUGUUCGAGCGUCAUUUGUACCCUCAAGCUUUGCUUGGUGUUGGGCGUCUUGUCUCUAGCUUUGCUGGAGACUCGCCUUAAAGUAAUUGGCAGCCGGCCUACUGGUUUCGGAGCGCAGCACAAGUCGCACUCUCUAUCAGCAAAGGUCUAGCAUCCAUUAAGCCUUUUUUUUCAACUUUUGACCUCGGAUCGGGUAGGGAUACCCGCUGAACUUAAGCAUA
This 568-nucleotide ribosomal RNA is filed under the name uncultured fungus. RNAcentral's name for it is "eukaryotic LSU rRNA". The stretch from base 208 to 361 matches the Rfam family "5.8S ribosomal RNA". Lineage: Eukaryota; Fungi. The record is from RNAcentral.